GUCUACAGUCAUGCCAUCCUGAACACGCCCAAUCCUGUCUGAUCUCGGAAGCUAAGCAGGGUCGGGCCUAGUUAAUACUUGGAUGGGAGACCACCCAGGAAGACCGGGUGCUGUAGGUG
Molecule: ribosomal RNA, 119 nt
Filed under: Pteropus alecto (black flying fox)
Lineage: Eukaryota; Metazoa; Chordata; Mammalia; Chiroptera; Pteropodidae
Source: RNAcentral